AAGAAGACUAGAAGCACUGGGUAAAUGCACGACUUGUUCUUGCCUUCUAAAGCAGAGAGGAGCUUUUGUGGGUAGUUCCUACAGGGAUACAUGGUAGAAAAUUCACCAAACCCAGUGCUGGAGUGACAUGCUCUGGAGUCAGAAGACAGCGAAAAGAGAAGCAGAAGCCCCGGUGGCAAGAGUCUGAAGGAAGGAUGACUGUAGCCUGUGGAUUGUACUGCAGUAGGAAACUGUCCUAGCAAGGCUCCACUUUGCCCCAGCUUCAAGCUGGAAAGGAGGAGAACAUGAAACAUUGCUUGAAGACAAUGGCCGAGACAGCAGGUCCCACCCUGCACAGCCACCAGCAUCUCUCCCCUCAGCCCUGUCUCCUCUUCUGCAGUUGGGAUCUGCACAUUUAAGCCUGAAAUUGUCCUGUGAAGUGAAGUAUGAUCGGACAGCCUCUUUUCAGCUUUUAUGACAAUGGAGACAGAGGAAUUGUGGCUCUUGCCAAGGUCACAGGAUUGGAAUACAGAGCCAAGCCACCCCAGGACAUGCAAGAGCCUCAGAAGGGAAAAAAGCCCAGCAGGAAGGGAGAACAAGUAGCCUCUGUCCUGAAGUUGUAACAGCCAGGGGCCAGGAUGGAGGAGGAGGACCCCAUAAUCUGCCCAUCUGGGACUUGGCAGGGGACCUGGGAAAAUGUACCCCAACCCAUCCCUUAAGGGCCUUUGUCUUUGGCCCAUUGGCCUAGCA
This 729-nucleotide long non-coding RNA is filed under the name Homo sapiens (human). Its description in RNAcentral is "MIR9-3 host gene". The record is from RNAcentral. Lineage: Eukaryota; Metazoa; Chordata; Mammalia; Primates; Hominidae.